This is a long non-coding RNA of Hypanus sabinus (Atlantic stingray), 692 nucleotides long. RefSeq lists it as uncharacterized. The record is from RefSeq and is a predicted model, not a curated record. Lineage: Eukaryota; Metazoa; Chordata; Chondrichthyes; Myliobatiformes; Dasyatidae. The transcript has 3 exons.
GGAGGGUACCCAGACAGAAUAUAAUGUGUUGCUCCUCCACGGGGAGAGGAGCUCAUCUUGGCACAAGAGGAGUCCACGGAUCGACACGGCGGAACAGGACUGGGAAUGAAGAAUUAAAAUGCUUGCUGACUGUUGUCCCGUGGGACCAGGCAAGGUUGCCCUUUAAGUCCUCUAUUAUUUGACAUUGCUUUGGAACCUUUAGCCGUUGCCAUUCGUGAAUCACCUAAUAUUUUUGGUAUUACCCGUGGAUACUUGCAAGUUAGAAAUUUCUUGAAUGUGAGUAUUUUCUGCAAUUAUGUCCAAUGGAUAUUAUAGAAAAAAUUCUGGCUCUGAAUCCUUGCCAGAAGGGUUAAGCAGCCAUCAUUUAUCAUAUGAUCAUGAAAAUACAGCCAGGAGUAUCAGAAAUAAUUAAGAAGGAUUGGGAAAAAGAACUUCACUGUCUUAUACCCACAGAGCAGUGGGAGAAAAUUUUACAAUUAGUCAACUCUUCUUCUAUUUGUGCUAAACAUGCCUAAUACAAUUUCAGGUUGUUCAUAGGGCUCACAUGUCCAAGGAUAAACUUGCUCGAUUUUAUUCUUAUGUUAAUCCAACCAGUGACAGAUGUCAGUCUGAAGUCACUUCAUUGACCCACAUGUUCUGGUCUUGCCACUAUUUUCAAAAUUACUGGAAAGAUAUUUUUGCUAUUAUUUCAA